This 1152-nucleotide long non-coding RNA is filed under the name Olea europaea subsp. europaea. The record is from RNAcentral. Lineage: Eukaryota; Viridiplantae; Streptophyta; Magnoliopsida; Lamiales; Oleaceae.
AACUAAACAACGUAAGCAAAUUUAUUCACCCCCAAACUUAACUGAAACAUUGUCCUCAAUGUGAAAUAGAAACAAAAUGGGGAGGGAACUUACCAGACGGACAACAUUAAUCGUCGUUCUCGACAUCGUCGUCCUCGGUAUUCAGAAUUGGAUUGGCAGCAUGAUCAGGUAGGAGUGGCGACUGAGGAAAUGCUCGAUCGGAGUAAAUCGAACCCAGGACCGCAUUGAACUCAUGUUGAUAAUGGAAUUGCUCGCACAAAGUAUUUUGCAUCAAAUUCAUUUUCAAUUGUAUGUCAUGAAGCUUAGCGGCAAGGUUGGAAGUGGGGUCACUAUCUGGGGCCGGUCGACAUGAUCGGGGCGGCUGGUCGCUCCGAGGAGGGGGUGGAGCACUGGUGGAUUCAGAACAGCGUAAGAACUUCCAAGUACGUGCUCAUGUGAUUGACGGUUUGGGGUGCACAACCUCCUCAGUCGGGUAUGUGACAACACCACCCGCUAAACAAAGCUCAUAAAUCAAUGAUGGGUGCCCUAGACCACCUGUCAUCGACCCUUUCUAAGUGUGUAAGAUGUUGUAAAUAACUUUACCAACAUCAAUUGAUAGGUGGCACUGAAUAGCAUAAUUAAGGAUAGCUCAUUCUUUUGUUACUUCACUUAAAUUGCUACUGGAAAUAAGUUUGCCAGAAAUGAAGUGAUGCCAAGCCUUACAACCCGAAGUCAUACCAGAAGCAGGAAAGUUAAUUAUAUAUGUCUCUGAACGUUUCCAUGUAGUACCAGUUGUGGCCAAGACUCAAAUGACCUCAUUAGGAUCAACAUCCUCGUCACGAAGUCUAGAGUACUCGUCAUUUUCAAUAUCUUGCAAAUGAUAAAACAUGUUGAUGGAGGUUCUAUCAAACGGUAUCCACUUACCCCGCACAAACACUCGGAAAUCUCAAUGCUCCUUCGCAUUGGCAGUUCCGCCGACCUAUCUGCUCUGUCAUAUAAUUGUAAAAAUCACGUUCAGGGAUACAGGUCUUGUGGACCACCAGGUUAUUAUAUCGUUUAGCGGCCUCAACACUAAUGAAUUUGCUCUUGUCAAAUGAGCUAGAAAAGGAGGCUGCAGCUUUAGAUCUCUUUUUAGGCGGCAUUGGACCUGUGCAAGUGUAGAACAUGCAAACC